Molecule: ribosomal RNA, 732 nt
Filed under: Triticum aestivum (bread wheat)
Lineage: Eukaryota; Viridiplantae; Streptophyta; Magnoliopsida; Poales; Poaceae
Description: partial small subunit ribosomal RNA
Source: RNAcentral
AUGGCGUCCCGCCGCGUCCUCCACCUCCUAACGGCAUCUCGGGGCAUCUCCUCAACCCCACAUCUCGCCUCCCUCGGGUGGAUCAACAAGAUCAAGGACACCUUCACCGGCAAGAAGGCCGCCGACUCACCCUUCCCCCCGUCCGAAUCCUUCAAUCUCAACAUGUUCGCGGAUUCGAUGGAGAUGGCGAGGAAGGUGGGAACUUUCAAGAACUUCGUGUCAGGGAGAUGCAGCGAGGCCACCGUCGUAGCCGCCUGCGAGAAGCACGCCGCCGUUCUCCGCUACCUCGCCACCAUCGACCCAACCGGCGAGAAGCUCAAAACCAGUGACAAAAUUAGUGCCACCAAGCAUUGCAACUGCACAAUUGCUGAUGUCGAGCACAUACUGGCCAAGUACACAUGGGCUAAAGAUGCCCAAAAGAAGAUUGAAAAACUCAAAGAAGAAGGAAAGCCAGUGCCAAAGACAUUUGCUGAGGUGCAAAAUCUAAUGGGUAAUACAGCCUUGGACCUUGGAAGAGCUAAUCUGGCAAAGAGUGGUGUUGUGGGGCUUCUUGAGGUGAAAACCCAUGCUUUCCUUUUGCUUGCUAGCGCUGACUGGGGCAGAGUUCUGCUCUGCUGUGAUCAAGAAAAGCACGUCGGGAUUCUGAACCUAGACAGCGAGACUACAUCAGCGGCUGAAAGAGCCAAACUUAAUUGUCGCAAACCUGGCUGCGGGACUUGUAAAGCGCCAUAA